RNAcentral lists this ribosomal RNA (465 nucleotides) under uncultured bacterium. RNAcentral describes it as "partial 16S ribosomal RNA". It matches the Rfam family "Bacterial small subunit ribosomal RNA", at positions 28 to 507 of the family's 1533-position model. The record is from RNAcentral.
GAUGAACGCUGGCGGCGUGCUUAACACAUGCAAGUCGAACGGAAAGGCUCCUGCUUGCAGGGGCACUCGAGUGGCGAACGGGUGAGUAACACGUGGGUGAUCUGCCCUGCACUUCGGGAUACGCCUGGGAAACUGGGUCUAAUACCGGAUAGGACGAUGGUUUGGAUGCGAUUGUGGAAAGUUUUUCGGUGAGGGAUGAGCUCGCGGCCUAUCAGCUUGUUGGGGGGGUAAGGGCCUACCAGGGCGUCGCCGGGUGGCCGGCCUGAGGGGGGGUACGGCCACAUUGGGACGGGGAUACGGCCCAGACUCCUACGGGAGGCAGCAGUGGGGAUAAUUGCACAAUGGGCGCAGGCCUGAUGCAGCGAGGCGGGGGGGGGGAUGACGGCCUUCGGUUGGUAACCUCCUUUCGCUAGGGACGAAGUGCAAGUGACGGUACCUGGAGAAGAAGCACCGGCUAACUACGUG